This is a non-coding RNA of Phascolarctos cinereus (koala), 795 nucleotides long. Lineage: Eukaryota; Metazoa; Chordata; Mammalia; Diprotodontia; Phascolarctidae. The record is from RefSeq and is a predicted model, not a curated record.
UUGCUGAGUUCUCUAUUUACACUCUAAUGCAAUGAAACUUAUUCCCAGGGAAAACAUAUGUCUUUUUUUUUUUAUUUAACAGGCCUUAACUUAUUUCACGUAAAAUGCAUUUGGUCACAUUGAAGAGAAUGCACCCAGGCUCUGGGCUAUUCAGGGAUAGAUUGAACUAGGAGAGUAGUGCUGGCACAGAAAAAUGAAUAUGUGUCUGAGGCCAUGUGUGCUCACUGUAUUCCAGUGUACGUUUCAGAUUUCCAGUGAAACCCAUCUACAAAGCAGCUCUAAUCAGUGGAGUAUUCAUUGUGAUUGCAUAUUCUGGAUGAUUUUCUCCAGGUCCAAGAUGAGUAAUUGGUACAUCAGCACUUUUGUUUCCCAGGAGUGCCUGGAGUUGACAAGAGCUGUUCAAGGAGAAGAGGGUACCUACUUUGAAACAGAUCAAUAAACUCUUGUCCUUGGAAACCUUGGAAACCAUUUGACAUUUUCCACCAAAAGAUCCUCUCAAUCAUCCUCUUCACCCUUCUUAGAAGGCUACAUACAAGCCUGUCAUGAUAGAGAACUCCCAGGCCUUUGUUUGGGGCUUCCAAUUCCCAAAGCAGAUUUGAUCUCCCAUUUGGACCAUGGGAAAGCACAGUGGAUGCUGGAAUAAGAAGACCCAAAGAACUGUCUAGACUGGGAAACUAGGACUAAAACCAAGGAUGUUCCUCUAAAACUCAGACAACAGGGGCAGCUUGUAGCACAGUGAAUAGAGCACCAGCCCUGAAGUCAGGAGGACUUGAGUUCAAAUCCAGCCUUAGACAC